AGUCUGCUUUCAGCACUGGAGGAAGGGUGUUGGAUCCUCAUCGUAGUAAUCUUACACCUACGAUAGUGGAAGUGCUUGUUUGCACUCAAGAUUGGCUUAAAGGAUCUCCUUUCUCAAAUCUAUUUGACGAGGACCUUGAAGAACUUGAAACCUUUGAGAAAGGUAUGUCACAAUAUUUUUAGUUCUACAAACUUUGUAUUGUAUUUUAAAUUUUUUGAAACAUAAUGAAAUGCUCUUUUUUGCAGAGAUCAUUUCUCCAACGCUCUACGCAACAGCAUCUGCUAGUGUCAUUAGUCUUGACGAUUAAAGACAUUUGUUUCUAUUUUGUUUAGCUCAAAGAAAGCUCAAAGAAUUAGGUGAGUGAAACCAAGUGUUUCAGUAUUUAUAUGGUUAUUGAACUCUACAUGUUAUUUUUUGAAAUUACUAACUGGUGUCAUUUUUUUAUUUUUAAUAACUGUUUGCCAUUAUUUUAGCUGCACUUGUUCGCUUUUCUAUAGCGGGAAACUUCCUCGUGGGACUCUUGAAGUUGUUUUGAUCAGCGCCAAAGGCCUUGAAGACAAUGAUUUUCUCUCUAGCAUAGAUCCUUAUGUGAUUCUCUCUUACCGGGCACAUGAGCACAAGAGUACUGUGCAAGAAGGUGCUUUUCUGACAAACUUAACUUGUAAUUUGCUUAGUUGACAUUUUGGAUCUGUUUCUAUAGAUGCACUUUAGAUAUUAUUUAUAUGUUAUAUAUGCUUCAAACUUCACAGGUUGGGUAUGAUAAAUUGGGUUUGUCUAUUGGUCUUCAAUUCAUUGGAAGGCCUUGGUCUGAAGCAACACUAAUCCACUUAGCAUUUGCAAUGCAGGCUAUCUGCAUGUCAGAUUACAGAAAGCCAGAGCAUUACUAUGAUCUGCUAAGAAGAUAAAAAGGAAGAAUAGUAGCAGUAGCACAUUGUUUCCAGCUAAAGGAAAGCCUUCAUUGUAGUGUGUUUGAGCUAGUGGGAUUUUUUCUUUCUUUUUUCCUUUUGGUGGAUUGGAUUUCAUCCAUUAUUAGUACAAAACUUGAUGUCUUUGAUAG
Cicer arietinum (chickpea) is the source of this 1057-nucleotide non-coding RNA. The record is from RefSeq and is a predicted model, not a curated record. NCBI's taxonomy places the organism in Eukaryota, Viridiplantae, Streptophyta, Magnoliopsida, Fabales, Fabaceae.